AGCGUUGUUCGGAAUUACUGGGCGUAAAGCGCACGUAGGCGGACUAUUAAGUCAGGGGUGAAAUCCCGGGGCUCAACCCCGGAACUGCCUUUGAUACUGCUAGUCUCGAGUCCGGAAGAGGUGAGUGGAAUUCCGAGUGUAGAGGCGAAAUUCGUAGAUAUUCGGAGGAACACCAGUGGCGAAGGCGGCUCACUGGUCCGGUACUGACGCUGAGGUGCGAAAGCGUGGGGAGCAAACAGG
Molecule: ribosomal RNA, 240 nt
Filed under: uncultured bacterium
Lineage: Bacteria
Description: partial 16S ribosomal RNA
Rfam family: Bacterial small subunit ribosomal RNA
Source: RNAcentral